UACGGAGGGGGCUAGCGUUGUUCGGAAUUACUGGGCGUAAAGCGUACGUAGGCGGCUUUGUAAGUUAGAGGUAAAAGCCCGGGGCUCAACUCCGGAAUUGCCUUUAAGACUGCAUCGCUUGAAUCAUGGAGAGGUGAGUGGAAUUCCGAGUGUAGAGGUGAAAUUCGUAGGUAUUCGGAAGAACACCAGUGGCGAAGGCGACUCACUGGACAUGUAUUGACGCUGAGGUACGAAAGCGUGGGGAGCAAACAGG
This 253-nucleotide ribosomal RNA is filed under the name uncultured bacterium. Its description in RNAcentral is "partial 16S ribosomal RNA". It matches the Rfam family "Bacterial small subunit ribosomal RNA", at positions 524 to 776 of the family's 1533-position model. The record is from RNAcentral.